Molecule: long non-coding RNA, 903 nt
Organism: Nycticebus coucang (slow loris)
Lineage: Eukaryota; Metazoa; Chordata; Mammalia; Primates; Lorisidae
Exons: 4
Source: RefSeq, a predicted model, not a curated record
GGGGAACGGAGGUGCAGUGAGAGGGCUGGGAGAUUGGAGCUGAUUGAGCACGGAACACGGGAUUACACAACCCUCAGACAAACAGGCCAUGCUCAGAUGAGAAGAAAGUGUUUGCUCCUCCGGCCCCUCUGAAGUGCUCCGAAGCACCAAAGCUACCUCCAGCUUUGGAAAAUGUGCUUUUCUCCGUGGGAGUCAGCAAAGUCAUGGUACUUCCCCUAAAGCAAUUUACCUAGACAGUAGACCACUCUUCUAGAUAUCAUCAACCCCUUCUCAGGACAAAAACUAGGCUCAUAAAGUGAAGAGGCUGGGGCGGCGCCUGUGGCUCAGUCGAACUAAGCUAAGGCUGGAUCCCCUCAAUCAAACCAAGGAUUCAAAUAUACAAAGCCUCACUCCUUAGAAAAGAUGGUCUAUUUCUCCAAUUUCCUUUCACUUCUAGGUGGCAGCCCUUCAUAUUUUCCAACGAAAAGAUUUGGGGAAUAAGGAAGCAUCUAGACAACCCACAUGUGCACUCUGCCUCCUCAAAACAGAGAAAGAACAGAGAAGGUAACCGUGAAGUUUCUCUAAAGGAGAUACAUGUACAUUUUGCAAACUGAUCCCUGAGAAUUUGGAGAUACUUUGAGGGUGGCUUCCUGGAGGUAACUGCUGGGAAUUGAAAAGGAUCGAGAACAUACGAUGAUGUUCCCAAGAAGCUGGAUUGAGCAUAGAAUAAGAGCCCUCAUUUUAAAAGCACAUAGAAAUAACAAAUAUAUUACUAAAUAUAUAACAUCAUGCUAAAAUAAUAUAGGGGCAUCUCUAUAGAUCAGAAACAGAAAAAAAAUCUGAAAAGUAGCAGUACACCAUCAGCGGUGUAUGUGCUGGGGGGAGGCAUGUAAUUAAUAUAGUUUAUAGGAGGUAAAAGAAUGA